GACGAACGCUGGCGGCGUGCUUAACACAUGCAAGUCGAACGGUAAGGCCCUUCGGGGUACACGAGUGGCGAACGGGUGAGUAACACGUGGGUGAUCUGCCCUGCACUUCGGGAUAAGCCUGGGAAACUGGGUCUAAUACCGGAUAGGACCACUGCCCGCAUGGGUGGUGGUGGAAAGCUUUUGCGGUGUGGGAUGGGCCCGCGGCCUAUCAGCUUGUUGGUGGGGUGAUGGCCUACCAAGGCGACGACGGGUAGCCGGCCUGAGAGUGUGACCGGCCACACUGGGACUGAGAUACGGCCCAGACUCCUACGGGAGGCAGCAGUGGGGAAUAUUGCACAAUGGGCGCAAGCCUGAUGCAGCGACGCCGCGUGAGGGAUGACGGCCUUCGGGUUGUAAACCUCUUUCAGCACCGACGAAGCGCAAGUGACGGUAGGUGCAGAAGAAGGACCGGCCAACUACGUGCCAGCCGCCGCAGUAA
Molecule: ribosomal RNA, 478 nt
Filed under: uncultured bacterium
Lineage: Bacteria
Description: partial 16S ribosomal RNA
Rfam family: Bacterial small subunit ribosomal RNA
Source: RNAcentral